GGAGAUUUAGCUCAGUGGUAGAGCACUUGCCUAGGAAGCGCAAGGCCCUGGGUUCGGUUCCCAGUUCCA
RNAcentral lists this transfer RNA (69 nucleotides) under Rattus norvegicus (Norway rat). It matches the Rfam family "tRNA". From Rfam's summary of the family: Transfer RNA (tRNA) molecules are approximately 80 nucleotides in length. Their secondary structure includes four short double-helical elements and three loops (D, anti-codon, and T loops). Lineage: Eukaryota; Metazoa; Chordata; Mammalia; Rodentia; Muridae. The record is from Rfam by way of RNAcentral.